RNAcentral lists this long non-coding RNA (982 nucleotides) under Citrus maxima (pomelo). Its description in RNAcentral is "long non-coding RNA (CMAX_LNC003770)". Lineage: Eukaryota; Viridiplantae; Streptophyta; Magnoliopsida; Sapindales; Rutaceae. The record is from RNAcentral.
UCGAUUUUUGUUCAUGUGUGUGAGUUGAUUCUCGUUUGAGAGUCCUCUUAAUUGAAGGAAACGACAUAAUUACUACACGUAUAUGUGAAAUACAAUAAUGCUAUGCAAUAAAACUCGAAAUGAUUAUUUAUUCCUAUUACACAUCUUCUAAUUCUCUAAAAUUACUAAAACACUCCUAUCUCUUAAAAUUACAAAACACCCUUGAAACAUAAAUUAUCAAAUUACCCUGAAGUGGCGAAUUGCUAAACUGCCCUCAAUCUAAUUACCAAAUUGUCUACUAAGAUAUGAAUUUAUGAAAUUACCCUCGGAGUAUGAAAUUAUCAAAAUGCCUUAAAAGACUUAAAUUACCAAAUUACCCCAAAAUCUAGAUUAACUAACUGCCCUUAGUCUGAAAUUACUAAAUUAUCCACCAAUAUGUGAAAUUACCGAAAUGCCCGUAGUUCAGUCAAUGGUGGUCGGGAAACUCAGAUCUGAUAGUGCGGACCACGUUGAGGUCGAUGGCGCCAGCGGUGACGAUUCACGCUCGGAAGCGACGACGAAUCGAGCUUAAAAAAACGUGAACUUCCGGCGGCCGACCGGCGGCUAAACGACCGUUUCAGGUGACGGGACCCGUCUGAAAAUGAUGAGGGUGAGCUGAGGAGAAAGAUCCAGGCGGUGACGAGGCCUAAUUCCGGCGAGAUCGAAGGUAUGGUGAUGGGUUUUAGCCGCAAUUUUCGUGCUUCAAACGCGACGCUCCGUCCGGUUUCUGGCGAUGAUGACGGGUCGACCCGGUUCAUCUCUCUCUCCCGUUUUAUAACGGACACCCUUUUUUUCCUAAAACUUUAUACAAAUUAAGCUAAUAAUCAUGUUCUUGAUUCGUGUCAUGACGGGAUUAAACGGAUUCGAACACAACCCACUUAUUAAACACGCAAAAUUUAAUUAUUCAUAUCCAUAAUUAAUGUCAGAUAAUUGAGUUACAUCAACUUCGUUGGUAACAAUUUGU